RNAcentral lists this non-coding RNA (30 nucleotides) under Rattus norvegicus (Norway rat). Lineage: Eukaryota; Metazoa; Chordata; Mammalia; Rodentia; Muridae. The record is from RNAcentral.
UCCAUGUUGCUUCUAGACUCUGAAAGAUGU